CUGGUGCUGGGGAUGUGCCCGGGGUCACAGCUAAUGGAGGUUCUGCACUGAUUUUGUUCUUACUAUCCCUGAGCAGAAUGGAAAAGCUGUGUUCAGCUUAAUGUGGGCAAAGGGCAGAAGGGUGCUGCUCUGUAAUAGACAAAUAAUGCUCCAGCAAAGCAGAACUGGAGGACAAGUUUUGAUUCCCUGAGUGCUACAAAAAAAUAAACCAUCCCUGGAAGGUUUGCAUGAGCCUCACAGGAACAGAAAACCAGUGCAGAUGGAGAUGCAGCAAUGCGAUGGAUGCUGCAAGAAUGCCUUUGGAGGAUGGGCAAGGAAUGAGCAGCAUAUUUGUGUCUGAAAGGAACAAAAAUCAUACAGAACUCCUGAAAUAUACAUCAGAACAUUCAUCCUGCAGCUCAGCCCAGGAGGAAGGCGUUGAGAGGAGAGGCAGCACUCAGCAGAGCCGCCCUCACCCACAGAAACCCAAAUUCAAGCUGGAUUCCUCAUUUUCUCUGGGAAGACUGACAUGGAUGAUUUCAAUGCAGUGGGUUGUUGGGCGCCGUCUUUCAAAUAGGAGUUUUGCAUUAAAAAUUGGAAACAAAAUGAAGCCAACUUCAAGUGCUAACCCAGAAAGAGGCUUAACAUCUUCUCCAAUCUAUCUGCUGGUCUUCUUUUGUUUCUAACACUGAAAGCUGAGUUCCGCUGUGUAUCAAAACAACUUUUGAAAUACUGAUAUGGAAGAAAAAGUCUUGUUUUGAAACAGGUCACUUGGAAAUCAAUACUCAAAACAUUACACUACUAUAGAGACUGUCACCUAUAUAAUAAUCCCAUUUACUUGUUAGAAGAAAGCUUAAAUAUUCAGAAGGAAUGAAUUAGCAUAGUGUUUCCAUUGGAAACUAACCAGAGGGUAGGUGUGCUCUUGCAUUUGGGUAGAUGCAGUCAUUCAAACUAUUCUGCUUUGCCCUGCUUUCCUCUGCUGAGAGGGUCAGAACAAAUAAAACACUUUAAUUCGGUUUAUAUUCCAUUUCAUUUUUCCAAUCCCAGAUAGUUAACCACGCUAUACAGAGCCAACAGAAUUGGUUAAACACCGGUGUCUCACUGGCACGCUCACACGCAUUGCAGAUACAUACACAGACAUAUGGAAGUGUGCAGAAAAUGAACUGUGAAUCAGUUUAACGUAGAAGGCAGGAUUCCCACACAUCCACUAGAAGGCAAUUAGGGAGGAGGCAGCAGCUGAGGAACAGCCAG
Long non-coding RNA from Gallus gallus (chicken), 1230 nucleotides. Lineage: Eukaryota; Metazoa; Chordata; Aves; Galliformes; Phasianidae. The record is from Ensembl.